GUAGGUGGCAAGCGUUGUCCGGAAUUAUUGGGCGUAAAGCGCGCGCAGGCGGUCCCUUAAGUCUGAUGUGAAAGCCCACGGGCUCAACCGUGGAGGGUCAUUGGAAACUGGGGGACUUGAGUACAGAAGAGGAAAGCGGAAUUCCAAGUGUAGCGGUGAAAUGCGUAGAGAUUUGGAGGAACACCAGUGGCGAAGGCGGCUUUCUGGUCUGUAACUGACGCUGAGGCGCGAAAGCGUGGGGAGCAAACAGGAUCAGAUACCCUGGUAGUCCACGCCGUAAACGAUGAGUGCUAAGUGUUAGGGGGUUUCCGCCCCUUAGUGCUGCAGCUAACGCAUUAAGCACUCCGCCUGGGGAGUACGGCCGCAAAGGCUG
RNAcentral lists this ribosomal RNA (373 nucleotides) under uncultured organism. RNAcentral describes it as "partial 16S ribosomal RNA". It matches the Rfam family "Bacterial small subunit ribosomal RNA", at positions 527 to 896 of the family's 1533-position model. The record is from RNAcentral.